Nothobranchius furzeri (turquoise killifish) is the source of this 2298-nucleotide non-coding RNA. Lineage: Eukaryota; Metazoa; Chordata; Actinopteri; Cyprinodontiformes; Nothobranchiidae. The record is from RefSeq and is a predicted model, not a curated record.
CAAUUCCCAAAGCAGAAAAACCCAGCUUUCCGUGCUUGGGUGAGAUUUCUUGGGUAAAAAGGCAGGAUUUUACCAGAAGUCUCGAACAACUCCGUGAUUUGUGGUGUGCAUUUCCACGAGGAGGAUUAUAUUGAAGGAGACUUGUUCGAACACAGGAUGGGGUUCAGAAAAAUGAACAAAAUCAGACUGAAAUCCACUGCAGUACCAUCGAUGCAUGGAAAAGGCAACAAGGGAGAAGGCUGCUUCCGGAACGACAACAAUGGCGGCUCCUUCCAGCAGCAGAAGAGACUCAGGAGCUACACGCAGGUCAGCAACUCACAAGCUGGAAGUAGCCAGAGUAAUUGUUGAAUCUCUAAAAACCAUUAAUGACAAAAACGUUCAGUGAUAAAAAUGUGUUAAUACAAAUAACGUCUAUUAAGCCAUGUUGGGGUACAAUUGUGCAGCUGAGUGAGGGAUAAACUGCACAAAGUUUCUCUAUAAUGACGGUGAGCAGAAAAAUAACUGACACGGUGAUUCUGGUUAAAAUCAUUUGAGCACCACGAACAACCCUUGCCUCCGGUUUCAACCAGCUGCUUCACCAGUUCAUAACAUGAUUUUGUACAGCUGUGCUCUCUCGAGUGACUCGUGCUAAUGUUUGUGUACGUUUUUGUUUUUUUAUUAAACACUCAAAUAUUUCCUACUUUAGUGUGGUUUCCAUGUGUUACUUUGAGAUUCAUGCUGGGCUAUUCAUCAGGGCUUUUACAUCCCCAUGGCAAUCUGCUGACUCCUAAAAUUAUGACAGGUUCCGACCCAAAUCAAACAUUUGUGAUCUUGUCUGCAUUAAACAACAUUUUUAUGUCUACAUCUUUUACGAUGAGUAGUUUGCUAAUGUGUUUUAAUUAUUUUUGCCCUAAAUGUUCUUGAUCUUCAAAUUCAAGUACAUAUUUGUAUGCUUGCUUUUCAGAUGAUAGCAGAUCUGUCACAAGUCGAAACAACAGAACAAACUCCUGAAGCAGCUGCAUCUCCUGUGACAUGACGGAUGACUGCAUGUCUGGUCAGAAACACUCCUCUACCACAGUGGAUCGUGCAACACGGUGUGGAUUCAGACAGCUCAUUCCUUAUUGUUCUACAGCAACACAGGUUGACCUACAUCCAUCCACCAGAGACAUGGGGACCCAGUGUGAGGAGAGUGAUGUGUUGUGGCACUCAACACCUUUAUCACCAGUAUCGUCACUUGAGCCCCUAGAUGACCAGGAGGAGAGCUACGAUCCAUUUGAUGAAUCUGAACCCAUGUCUAUUGAUGAUUUCUUAUCAGAUGAUGGAUAUUUAGAGGAUGAACUAGGCUGCCAAAAUCCACAGGCAAACAAAUACAUUGUUUGCCACAGCGAGCUGAUGGAGCUGUUCUGCACCUGCAUUUGUGGUGAAUGGGCAGAGGCCGCUAUUGCCAAGAAGUCUGGAACCUUCAUAGAAAUUCAGCAGGAAUGUGAUCUGUGUGGUUACAACAGAUCCUGGCGAAAUCAGCCCAUGCUCCAAAAAAACAUGCCAGCCUGCAACCUUCUCCUUUCUGGGGCCAUACACUUCACAGGGUGUUUGGUAUCUCAGACUUUACGGAUGCCGUCGCUGUUAGGUGUACAGACUAUUUCAGCGGGAACGUACACACUCAUAGAGACUAAACAAGGUCAUUGAUGUCCAGCUUGUGCAGAGUUCUGAGGUUCCAAACAGCUCCUGGUGUGAGCUUGAGGGGCUGAAGAGGAGCAUCAGGCUCUUCUCAGAUAAUGACAUGAGUGUCGAUGUACUUGUAACGGAUCACAAUCGACAGGUUGCAAAAUGGGUCAGAGAACAACUUGGACCACAAGGAACAAGGCACUUCAAUGAUGUCUGGCAUUGUGGAAAGGGUCUGGCCAAGAAACUGGACACUGUCAGCAGAGAGAGCGGUUGUGAGGAUUUGGCAUUGUGGAAGCAGUCCAUUGUUAACCACCUCUACUGGACAGCAGCAUCCACACCCGACGCAAAUCCAGAUUUAAUGGAAGCUAAGUGGAAGUCACUGGUGAACCACGCACAAGACAUUCACAAACAUGGAACAGAAGUGUUUCCAUCUUGUCUCCACCCUCCACUAGUAGGACAGGGCCGGAACAAACAAUGGCUAAUUCCAGGAUCAAGUGCAGCAGUUAAACUGGAACAAGUAGCAUGCCAGCCAUUGUUUGUGAAAUAUGUCAGACAGCUGUCACCACAGCAUCAGACAUAUUCACUCGAGGCAUUCCACUCCCUGAUCCUGAAAUUUGCUCCGAAGCAUAUGGGGUUCUCGUACCUGGGCAUGUA